GAUGAACGCUGGCGGCGUGCUUAACACAUGCAAGUCGAACGGAAAGGCUCCUGCUUGCAGGGGUACUCGAGUGGCGAACGGGUGAGUAACACGUGGGUGAUCUGCCCUGCACUUCGGGAUAAGCCUGGGAAACUGGGUCUAAUACCGGAUAGGACCACAUUUUGGAUGGUGUGGUGGAAAGUUUUUCGGUGUGGGAUGAGCUCGCGGCCUAUCAGCUUGUUGGUGGGGUAAUGGCCUACCAAGGCGUCGACGGGUAGCCGGCCUGAGAGGGUGUACGGCCAAAUUGGGAAUGAGAUACGGCCCAGACUCCUACGGGGGGAAGAAGGGGGGAAUAUUGCAAAAGGGGGGAAAGCCUGAUGCAGCGACGCCGGGGGGGGGAGGACGGCCUUCGGGUUGUAAACUCCUUUCGCUAGGGACGAAGCGAAAGGGACGGUACCGGGAGAAGAAGCACCGGCUAACUACGU
This 464-nucleotide ribosomal RNA is filed under the name uncultured bacterium. Its description in RNAcentral is "partial 16S ribosomal RNA". It matches the Rfam family "Bacterial small subunit ribosomal RNA", at positions 28 to 506 of the family's 1533-position model. The record is from RNAcentral.